AUCACGCAUCCGACGGCGUAAAAGCCCCGAGAGUUACAAUAUAACAGAGACAGGAACUAGGGGAUAAUUAAUUUGCCCCUUUUCGUCCCGACGAAGGAGCAGUAGAUUUCCAAGUACUUGAAAUUGGUGCAGCUAAUAUAAUAGACUCAUUUGAAUCGAGCGUUUUGACUAGCGGAUGACAUUAUGAUGAUGGCUGUAAGCUGUUGUUCUUCGGAUAUUAGCAUAUGUUCUUGCGAUUAUUUCCUUGCAACCACAGUAAGUAAUGAAGCAAUCAUACUACAUAAAACUAUCUCCAGGCUUGCAGACUGCAACAAAAUGGAAUUGUGUGAUGCUGAAAAUUGUUGUUGGUCUCACCGAAAAGGUAUUGAGAUCCAUCAACAUCAUACAGUAAAAUAAAAUGGAUAGGUUAACCAUCAUCCUGAAGUUGAACGAAUUGCUUAGGCAAAUGCACUAUAUAUAUAAAAAAAAGAAUACUCUUGGAUUUUACUAGCAACCUUAUGCCGUGGUCGAUGGAUCAGCAUGGCUUGAUUCGAUCCCGAAAGCACAAGAUCACCUGUGUGGUUGCUUGGGCGGGGGUGGUCGACAUCAGGUCGGGUCUAUAUUUUGCCUCUAGAGUCGAUCCGAGGUAGAGCAUCGAGUUGUUCUUCCUUUCUCGUUGGAUUGUUGUUCCUUUCUCGUUGAGUUUUUGCACACAAGUCAAAGUCGAGAGAAGGAUUUUUCGAUUCAACCCCUCUAAAGCUUAAGUUAGUAUUGGGUGGUGGGUGUUAAAGAGAGUUUGAGUUUUCGAAGUCCG
RNAcentral lists this long non-coding RNA (793 nucleotides) under Musa acuminata (dwarf banana). Its description in RNAcentral is "long non-coding RNA (MACU_LNC004805)". The record is from RNAcentral. Lineage: Eukaryota; Viridiplantae; Streptophyta; Magnoliopsida; Zingiberales; Musaceae.